This 387-nucleotide long non-coding RNA is filed under the name Homo sapiens (human). RNAcentral describes it as "HSALNT0327321". Lineage: Eukaryota; Metazoa; Chordata; Mammalia; Primates; Hominidae. The record is from RNAcentral.
GUUUGUUCAUUGUCAACAAAUAGAGCCAACCCUUGGAAGGGGUGUGGUUCUGUUCUAGAUUCCUGCACAUCCAGGAAUUCGUAAAGGAGCAGGGCAAAGACGAGGGUGUAGCAUUGGCAAGCAACGAGGAGAUCAGACUGGCUGCCUCAAAGUGUUUAUGGGAGAGUGGGUACAGUGGGAGAAGAGAAUGCAAACUUUGGACUUUCGAGAGUGACCUCUCAGCUGCCACCUGGGAGGAGCUGGAGGACAAAGGACUUCACAGAAGAAUGGAGUCCCAAAGAAACAGCUUCAGGAACUGAGGAGAGCCAGAAAUUUAAUGUAUUUAGGGCUCCCUUGUGAAAACACAAAAACAAAAAUAAAAAUGCCUCCCGCUGCCUCGACAUCUCU